GGUUAAGCGACUAAGCGUACACGGUGGAUGCCCUGGCAGUCAGAGGCGAUGAAGGACGUGCUAAUCUGCGAAAAGCGUCGGUAAGGUGAUAUGAACCGUUACAGCCGGCGAUGUCCGAAUGGGGAAACCCAGUGCAAUUCGUUGCACUAUCGUUAACUGAAUACAUAGGUUAACGAGGCGAACCGGGGGAACUGAAACAUCUAAGUACCCCGAGGAAAAGAAAUCAACCGAGAUUCCCCCAGUAGCGGCGAGCGAACGGGGAGCAGCCCAGAGUCUGAAUCAGCUUGUGUGUUAGUGGAACGGUCUGGAAAGUCCGACGGUACAGGGUGAUAGUCCCGUACACCAAAAUGCACAGGUUGUGAACUCGAAGAGUAGGGCGGGACACGUGGUAUCCUGUCUGAAUAUGGGGGGACCAUCCUCCAAGGCUAAAUACUCCUGACUGACCGAUAGUGAACCAGUACCGUGAGGGAAAGGCGAAAAGAACCCCGGCGAGGGGAGUGAAAAAGAACCUGAAACCGUGUACGUACAAGCAGUGGGAGCACCUUCGGGUGUGACUGCGUACCUUUUGUAUAAUGGGUCAGCGACUUAUAUUCUGUAGCAAGGUUAACCGUAUAGGGGAGCCGCAGGGAAACCGAGUCUUAACUGGGCGUUAAGUUGCAGGGUAUAGACCCGAAACCCGGUGAUCUAGCCAUGGGCAGGUUGAAGGUUGGGUAACACUAACUGGAGGACCGAACCGACUAAUGUUGAAAAAUUAGCGGAUGACUUGUGGCUGGGGGUGAAAGGCCAAUCAAACCGGGAGAUAGCUGGUUCUCCCCGAAAGCUAUUUAGGUAGCGCCUCGUGAACUCAUCUUCGGGGGUAGAGCACUGUUUCGGCUAGGGGGUCAUCCCGACUUACCAACCCGAUGCAAACUACGAAUACCGAAGAAUGUUAUCACGGGAGACACACGGCGGGUGCUAACGUCCGUCGUGAAGAGGGAAACAACCCAGACCGCCAGCUAAGGUCCCAAAGUCAUGGUUAAGUGGGAAACGAUGUGGGAAGGCACAGACAGCCAGGAUGUUGGCUUAGAAGCAGCCAUCAUUUAAAGAAAGCGUAAUAGCUCACUGGUCGAGUCGGCCUGCGCGGAAGAUGUAACGGGGCUAAACCAUGCACCGAAGCUGCGGCAGCGACACUAUGUGUUGUUGGGUAGGGGAGCGUUCUGUAAGCCUGCGAAGGUGUGCUGUGAGGCAUGCUGGAGGUAUCAGAAGUGCGAAUGCUGACAUAAGUAACGAUAAAGCGGGUGAAAAGCCCGCUCGCCGGAAGACCAAGGGUUCCUGUCCAACGUUAAUCGGGGCAGGGUGAGUCGACCCCUAAGGCGAGGCCGAAAGGCGUAGUCGAUGGGAAACAGGUUAAUAUUCCUGUACUUGGUGUUACUGCGAAGGGGGGACGGAGAAGGCUAUGUUAGCCGGGCGACGGUUGUCCCGGUUUAAGCAUGUAGGCUGAUUGUCCAGGCAAAUCCGGAUAAUCAAGGCUGAGGUGUGAUGACGAGGCACUACGGUGCUGAAGUAACAAAUGCCCUGCUUCCAGGAAAAGCCUCUAAGCAUCAGGUAACAUUAAAUCGUACCCCAAACCGACACAGGUGGUCAGGUAGAGAAUACCAAGGCGCUUGAGAGAACUCGGGUGAAGGAACUAGGCAAAAUGGUGCCGUAACUUCGGGAGAAGGCACGCUGGUGUGUAGGUGAAGUCCCUGCGGAUGGAGCUGAGACCAGUCGAAGAUACCAGCUGGCUGCAACUGUUUAUUAAAAACACAGCACUGUGCAAACACGAAAGUGGACGUAUACGGUGUGACGCCUGCCCGGUGCCGGAAGGUUAAUUGAUGGGGUUAUCCGUAAGGAGAAGCUCUUGAUCGAAGCCCCGGUAAACGGCGGCCGUAACUAUAACGGUCCUAAGGUAGCGAAAUUCCUUGUCGGGUAAGUUCCGACCUGCACGAAUGGCGUAAUGAUGGCCAGGCUGUCUCCACCCGAGACUCAGUGAAAUUGAACUCGCUGUGAAGAUGCAGUGUACCCGCGGCAAGACGGAAAGACCCCGUGAACCUUUACUAUAGCUUGACACUGAACAUUGAGCCUUGAUGUGUAGGAUAGGUGGGAGGCUUUGAAGCGUGGACGCCAGUCUGCGUGGAGCCAACCUUGAAAUACCACCCUUUAAUGUUUGAUGUUCUAACGUUGGCCCCUGACCGGGGUUGCGGACAGUGUCUGGUGGGUAGUUUGACUGGGGCGGUCUCCUCCCAAAGCGUAACGGAGGAGCACGAAGGUUAGCUAAUCCUGGUCGGACAUCAGGAGGUUAGUGCAAUGGCAUAAGCUAGCUUGACUGCGAGCGUGACGGCGCGAGCAGGUGCGAAAGCAGGUCAUAGUGAUCCGGUGGUUCUGAAUGGAAGGGCCAUCGCUCAACGGAUAAAAGGUACUCCGGGGAUAACAGGCUGAUACCGCCCAAGAGUUCAUAUCGACGGCGGUGUUUGGCACCUCGAUGUCGGCUCAUCACAUCCUGGGGCUGAAGUAGGUCCCAAGGGUAUGGCUGUUCGCCAUUUAAAGUGGUACGCGAGCUGGGUUUAGAACGUCGUGAGACAGUUCGGUCCCUAUCUGCCGUGGGCGCUGGAGAAUUGAGGGGGGCUGCUCCUAGUACGAGAGGACCGGAGUGGACGCAUCACUGGUGUUCGGGUUGUCAUGCCAAUGGCACUGCCCGGUAGCUAAAUGCGGAAGAGAUAAGUGCUGAAAGCAUCUAAGCACGAAACUUGCCCCGAGAUGAGUUCUCCCUGAGACUUUAAGUCUCCUGAAGGAACGUUGAAGACGACGACGUUGAUAGGCCGGGUGUGUAAGCGCAGCGAUGCGUUGAGCUAACCGGUACUAAUGAACCGUGAGGCUUAACCUU
RNAcentral lists this ribosomal RNA (2902 nucleotides) under Klebsiella pneumoniae. Its description in RNAcentral is "23S ribosomal RNA". It matches the Rfam family "Bacterial large subunit ribosomal RNA". The record is from RNAcentral. RNAcentral also lists the same sequence under 1 other name. Lineage: Bacteria; Pseudomonadati; Pseudomonadota; Gammaproteobacteria; Enterobacterales; Enterobacteriaceae.